UGUGACCCUCCCUAUGCUCAGAGGAGGACUGAAAGGCUUUCGUAUUGGUGGGAUUGAGCUUCUUCCUGGUUUGCUGUCAAAAGCAUCAAAAUUCCAUCAGUACCGGUCAUGCACAGCUCCAGUCUCGUGCUUCAGCAACUCAGAACACUAAGCCUCUGGAGAAAACAAAAGCAAACCAUGAUGCUUUUCCCCAUCAAAAUACCCUGUUCCCAAUGAGGUGGUGCACAGAGCUGAUGUGAUACAUCGAUCCCUGAACGCACUCCCCAUCGACUCUGGAAUGCCACCAGGGCAAGGCGCGGAAGUGGAGUCAACGGGGGAGCAGCGGCCGUCGAUCCCGUGCCCUGAGGACGCGAAGUCAGUCAAUCUAAGAUGCGUCAACUUCAGCUACUUGAAAGUGGCUCCUCCCUGCCGAGCUGCUGCAGUGGCCCAAGCCCGACA
Long non-coding RNA from Mauremys reevesii (Reeves's turtle), 438 nucleotides. RefSeq lists it as uncharacterized. Lineage: Eukaryota; Metazoa; Chordata; Testudines; Geoemydidae. The transcript has 3 exons. The record is from RefSeq and is a predicted model, not a curated record.